CAGUUUUUUCAGACAAGCUGGAAAUACCACCAUUAAUCACUGAAGAUACUCCCGCUGAUUUUGAAGAACUUACGGUGAUUGUUUUUGAAAGUGAGGCGCUUUGCCACAACAUGUUGCAAAGACUUGAAACAAAUACAAAAAAUAUGUGCGAAACAAAAGAAAUUCUAAAGGAAACGAGUGAACAAAUCUCCAAUAUGAAAACGUCAUCAAAUGUGACAAAUCAAAAAGAAAACAGUAAUAGAAGAUAUGCCGCCAAGACCACAGGAACUGCUAUUGUCCCAGAUAGGUGGUAAUGGGAAAAAGAACAAUGUGGAGCGUAUAUUAAAAAAAAAAAAAUUCAGCGAAUUUGCUGUAGCUUGUUUGUUCGGUAGGAAAAUUCCAAAAUGGUUGGGACAAAAACAAUGAAUAUUAUGAAAGAAAUUACAAUGAAGACCCAUUCCGCAAUAGAAAAAGAAGUAGAACAACGCU
This is a long non-coding RNA of Zophobas morio, 468 nucleotides long. RefSeq lists it as uncharacterized. NCBI's taxonomy places the organism in Eukaryota, Metazoa, Arthropoda, Insecta, Coleoptera, Tenebrionidae. The transcript is spliced from 4 exons. The record is from RefSeq and is a predicted model, not a curated record.